RNAcentral lists this ribosomal RNA (253 nucleotides) under uncultured bacterium. Its description in RNAcentral is "partial 16S ribosomal RNA". It matches the Rfam family "Bacterial small subunit ribosomal RNA", at positions 524 to 776 of the family's 1533-position model. The record is from RNAcentral.
UACGUAGGGGGCGAGCGUUAUCCGGAUUUACUGGGUGUAAAGGGAGCGCAGGCGGCGUGGCAAGUCAGAUGUGAAAACCCGGGGCCCAACCCCGGGACUGCAUUUGAAACUGCCAUGCUGGAGUGCUGGAGAGGCAAGUGGAAUUCCUAGUGUAGCGGUGAAAUGCGUAGAUAUUAGGAGGAACACCAGUGGCGGAGGCGGCUUGCUGGACAGUAACUGACGCUGAGGCUCGAAAGCGUGGGGAGCAAACAGG